Long non-coding RNA from Heteronotia binoei (common prickly gecko), 1993 nucleotides. RefSeq lists it as uncharacterized. The transcript is spliced from 3 exons. NCBI's taxonomy places the organism in Eukaryota, Metazoa, Chordata, Lepidosauria, Squamata, Gekkonidae. The record is from RefSeq and is a predicted model, not a curated record.
GGAGUAAAUGCAGUGCUCCAUGUUGUUCCCACCCCCCUCAUCAUUGACUUUGAGAGCUGUUCGUUGAGGGGGGGGGGAGCAACUUAUGCAAGGCAGGUGGAAGUGGUUAGUGGGGAAAGUAGCCAAGUUUCCAGGCCUCAUGGAGGGGGUGGAGGUGGUAUAAAAGGUGGUUGGCUGGGCUGUUCUCGUGAUUGUUUUUUAAAGACUUUUUGCAAGGGGUUUUUAUUGUUGUCAGGGGGUUGUGUUUUCCUUUUUGCUAUUGUUCAGGUCAGUAAUACACUAUGGGAAAGAUAACUUUGUGUAUUUUUAUGCUGUUGGUACGUACGGUGGGUGCUUUUGAGGGGACCCAAGGGGUGGUCUCUGAGGCACAACCCACAGAGUCUUCCCCAGAUGCAACAAGGAUUCCUGAUGGUCCAGCAAUGGUGACUAGUUUGAACCAGACAACCACCCUGUCGGCAUUUUUGCCUGGAGAUGCGACCACAGCUCUUCCGACCAGAUCACUUAAACGGUUUUUUUAUGGCACCACCGGUCUGUUCCUCAUAAUGAGCAUCGCUGCUUGCAUGUGCUCGUGGUCGUCUAAAUUGCGACAGCGGCUGGCCAAAAAGCAUAUGGCUGUUGACUGGUCUUCCACCUCCUCUCAAGACGGCGACGACGACUUUUCUCUCAGUAGCUUCCAAGCAGAGGGGUCAGAAGAGGGGUCAGAAGAGGCUCUGAGCAUCAAGGGCUUGUCCUCGGCAGAUCCUGUGGUGAAGUUCCGUCGGGCAAAACCUGGAAAGCCAAAUGAUCCGGUGGUCUCCUCUCUUCCAGGAGAUGUUCUGGACUUGUAGUCCCAAGAUCAAGCUUGAACCAUCAGGAAGCCAGGGAACUACCUGGAGAGUCACCUGUAAUGGCUAGGUAUGCCUACUUGUUGCACAGCUGUAGUUGGAUUUCUGAGUCAAGGAAAUAGAGGAAUAAACUUUUGGGGAAUAUGCUUUUCAGACUAAGGAAGCUGACUCUGUGAUUAUGCCCUUUCAAAGGACGUAUUAACUAGUUUUUAUCCAUUAGAAUGUUAGUGUUUUCCUUGCCCAGAGUUGUGCACCUUCUUGCAAAUGACUUGUUGUGAUAAGGGUGAAGAGAAGGGUAUAUGAUCCCCCCCGCCCCACAAUCAAUGCUGUAUCUCAGAGAAACAGGAAUUCCAGUCCUACCUAGACAACUUAAAUUAUGCUCCUGUCCUUCCUUAAUGGGAACAGAGCAGAAACCAGGGGAGCUUCAUGUCCACUUCUUCCCUCUUGUCCUGGCCUUGGUAGCCAGCAGAUGACCCUUCUUUGUCCUGUGAGACCAUGGGAGAAUAUACAGGGCUUGUCCCUGAAGUUUAAAUGGCCAAUGAAUGCUCCUCUUUCUUGAAAACAAAGCCUGUACUGAAGCCUCUGCCUUUAAAGGAGGAGAACCGUCUCUAUGGGGUUCUGUCCAAACCAAGGGCAUGGGGAGAAAGGAUCAGGCUCAUAGUGUGUUUAUUCCACUGUAUCCUUUAGCCGCACUCAUUUCCUUUAGCUUCACUCAUUCCCACAGCUUCAUGGGAGCAGGCAAAAGUCCCUGCAAGCAGCUCUCUUGAAACGACUGCAGAAGGCAACGUAUUUUGGAUCCUUGGGGGUCAGCCUUGCCCGGAUGCCUUCCGUCCCAGGGUCAUGUGCUUCACGCCAGCUUCCCUGGCAAGAAUUCUUCUGGUGUUUGGCUGUAGCUGGGGCUGAAUGAAUUCCUCUCUCUGUUUCCUGGGGGCUUCUUGCCCCCCACCAGCAAUGGGGUGAUGGUGCCACACGACAGAUUAUUGACAUCUCCGGCUUGGGCAUUUUGUGAACUUUGGGGGCAAUAAUCUUGAUGAGACAACAUGGGCCUCUGGAAACAUGUGUCCCCUGAAUGGAAUGCUUCUGAUACAAAUUUCCAUGGUGUGUUUUUAAACCUACAUUUUAUGCUUGUAAUUGUGUGAGUGAACUAUCAAUAAAAACGAUAUAAAUUA